AGACUCCAAAAGUGAAAACAAUUCAUCACUAUAGACCCCAUUGACAAGAAAUGUUAAAGGAAGUUCUCCACAGCACAACGCCACAUGUUCCUGAUCCCAUAGGCAUAGAUGGCGGGGUGGGCCCCUGGCUCAGAAACAAAUGGAUUGUCCGAGGGGACUCGGUACCGCUUGCCAUGUGAGCCUGCCCUGUUCACAUCGAUCCUUAAAACUUUUCCCAGCAGGGAACUUCUGAAAGAAAGAAGGCCAAGAAGCAGAAUGAGGUAAGCAAGGAAAGCCACAGGACUGGAAGAGAUCGCCCAGAAGGGCCGACUCAUAGCUGAUGCCAAGAGACUGCUAAGGAUCCCAUGGGAAGAUUUGACUUCUUAUUUUCCUUCUUUUUUUGUACCCGCAAGUAUGAGCUUGAAGAUU
This 408-nucleotide long non-coding RNA is filed under the name Homo sapiens (human). RNAcentral describes it as "HSALNT0022540". Lineage: Eukaryota; Metazoa; Chordata; Mammalia; Primates; Hominidae. The record is from RNAcentral.